CCCUUAGAUGUUCUGGGCCGCACGCGCGCUACACUGACGAAUGCAACGAGCUUAUAACCUUGGCCGAAAGGUCUGGGUAAUCUCCAAAUUUCGUCGUGAUGGGGAUAGAUUAUUGCAAUUAUUAAUCUUCAACGAGGAAUGCCUAGUAAGCGCAAGUCAUCAGCUUGCGUUGAUUACGUCCCUGCCCUUUGUACACACCGCCCGUCGCUCCUACCGAUUUAAUGGUCCGGUGAAGCGUUCGGACCGUGGCCUUUGGACGGUUCGCCGUCUGUUGGCUGCGGGAAGUUCGUUAAACCUUAUCAUUUAGAGGAAGGAGAANUCGUANCA
This 327-nucleotide ribosomal RNA is filed under the name uncultured eukaryote. Its description in RNAcentral is "partial 18S ribosomal RNA". It matches the Rfam family "Eukaryotic small subunit ribosomal RNA", at positions 1470 to 1796 of the family's 1831-position model. The record is from RNAcentral.